This is a long non-coding RNA of Misgurnus anguillicaudatus (oriental weatherfish), 987 nucleotides long. RefSeq lists it as uncharacterized. The record is from RefSeq and is a predicted model, not a curated record. NCBI's taxonomy places the organism in Eukaryota, Metazoa, Chordata, Actinopteri, Cypriniformes, Cobitidae.
GCUUCCACAGCACCCAUUCAUUCCCGGGGCAGACUCAGAGCGUCGCGCUUCUACAGAAUGUGGAUGGACUUCUGACGGUUUUCACGUUAAACAUUGACAAACUUUUUGAUUUCAGUAUAUUUCUCUAAACUGCACUUUUAUAAUUGAAAGAGGAGAUGUGGACUACCAGAGGGAUUUGCUUUUGUACGUAGCUGCAGAUAAGAAGCGGGGCUCUAUAGCACUUCCUCUUUCCAAAGCCUCACCCGGCUUGUGAUAAAAAGUCCCAAAUUUGGGCCGCUGUAAACAAAUACCCGCGUCUGGAUGGGGUAAGCCGCGAGUUCAGAGAGUUCUAAGCCCUGGGAAAGACAAAACACCCUUUGAGAGUCCUCUAGCCUCCACUGUUCCAGGAUCUGAUAAAUCUGCCUGAGAUGAUGUAACACGUUGCAUUCCCUGAGUAUUCUGGGCAGGGCUGGGUCUAGUGAUAUCUAGACACUACACAGCAACAGCCGGAGUGCUGAGGAUUCGGGAACAUUGGAAAUAUCAAGAAGAGCUGCGUGACUAACACAAACGUAGCCAUUGAGUAGGUGUGGAGUUUGAAGUCCUGCUUCUCUUGUUUAACUCUCACUGGUGCCCUCCAGGCAAAUGAAUCUUUGGAAAAAACACAAAAUUGGCACACAGCUUCUUAAAGCAUGUGUGCGAGUGUGGGAUGGUUAGAUACCUCCUUGUUUCUUUAUUUAUUUAAAAUGACCUUUCCGUACUGGAACAGAGUUCGCUCUUGGCAAUGUGAAGGUUUAAAUGUUGGAAGAUGUAGGAGGGGAGAGCAGCAGAAACUAAAGCCCAAGAGGGAAACGAGAGAGAGAGAGAGAGAGAGAGAGUUAAAUCAUAAGGAAAGAGAACUCAAGUGACUGCAGGGAGAGCAAGGCAAAGUAAAUGAAGCAGAACAGGUUAGAUGUGUUGAUAGGGUUUUGUCCUCAUUAAAAAAAGCCAAGUUCUGGUCUUCUGAACCUC